GUAGUCCACGCCGUAAACGGUGGGUGCUAGGUGUGAGCGGUAUUCCACGCCGUUCGUGCCGCAGCUAACGCAUUAAGCACCCCGCCUGGGGAGUACGGCCGCAAGGCUAAAACUCAAAGGAAUUGACGGGGGCCCGCACAAGCAGCGGAGCAUGUGGCUUAAUUCGACGCAACGCGAAGAACCUUACCAAGGCUUGACAUGCAGGGAAAUCCUCCAGAGAUGGGGGGUCCGCAAGGGUCCUGCACAGGUGGUGCAUGGUUGUCGUCAGCUCGUGUCGUGAGAUGUUGGGUUAAGUCCCGCAACGAGCGCAACCCUCGUUCUAUGUUGCCAGCGCGUGAUGGCGGGGACUC
RNAcentral lists this ribosomal RNA (350 nucleotides) under uncultured Frankiales bacterium. Its description in RNAcentral is "bacterial SSU rRNA". It matches the Rfam family "Bacterial small subunit ribosomal RNA", at positions 790 to 1140 of the family's 1533-position model. Lineage: Bacteria; Bacillati; Actinomycetota; Actinomycetes; Frankiales. The record is from RNAcentral.